UACAGAGACUGCAAGCGUUAUUCGGAUUCACUGGGCGUAAAGCGUGCGCAGGCGGUUUUGUAAGACUGUCGUGAAAUCCCCGGGCUCAACCUGGGAAUGGCGAUGGUGACUGCAAGGCUAGAGUUUGGCAGAGGGGGGUAGAAUUCCACGUGUAGCAGUGAAAUGCGUAGAUAUGUGGAGGAACACCGAUGGCGAAGGCAGCCCCCUGGGUCAAAACUGACGCUCAUGCACGAAAGCGUGGGGAGCAAACAGG
RNAcentral lists this ribosomal RNA (253 nucleotides) under uncultured prokaryote. Its description in RNAcentral is "partial 16S ribosomal RNA". It matches the Rfam family "Bacterial small subunit ribosomal RNA", at positions 524 to 776 of the family's 1533-position model. The record is from RNAcentral.